Non-coding RNA from Caretta caretta (loggerhead turtle), 885 nucleotides. The record is from RefSeq and is a predicted model, not a curated record. Lineage: Eukaryota; Metazoa; Chordata; Testudines; Cheloniidae.
UGACCCCCAAAGCCGCAUUAAACCUGACUCCUUAAUACCACCAGCGAGUUAAUCCUGACCCAGAUGAGAGACAAUCCCCACCCCCAACACCGGGGAAGUGACGUGGUCCGGUGAAACAGCCUGGAUUAUCCCCCACCAUUUAACCCCCCCAUACCCGCCACUCAACUGUCCCCCUGGAGGGAAUGGGUGGGGGGGUAUUGAGCUCGAAGCGCCUGUGGGUCUGACCGGGGGUGAUGGAGGCGGGAUACCGGGGUAGAUGGGCCCCCAGGUCUGACCGGGGGUGAUGGAGGCGGGAUACCGGGGUAGAUGGGCCCCCAGGUCUGACCGGGGGUGAUGGAGGGGGGACACCGGGGUAGAUGGGCCCCCAGGUCUGACCGGGGGUGAUGGAGGCGGGAUACCGGGGUAGAUGGGCCCCCAGGUCUGACCGGGGGUGAUGGAGGGGGGACACCGGGGUAGAUGGGCCCCCAGGUCUGACCGGGGGUGAUGGAGGGGGGACACCGGGGUAGAUGGGCCCCCAGGUCUGACCGGGGGUGAUGGAGGCGGGAUACCGGGGUAGAUGGGCCCCCAGGUCUGACCGGGGGUGAUGGAGGCGGGAUACCGGGGUAGGUGGGCCCCCAGGUCUGACCGCGGGUGGUGGAGGGGGGACACCGGGGUAGGUGGGCCCCCAGGUCUGACCGGGGGUGGUGGAGGGGGGACACCGGGGUAGGUGGGCCCCCAGGUCUGACCACGGGUGGUGGAGGGGGGACACCGGGGUAGGUGGGCCCCCAGGUCUGACCGGGGGUGAUGGAGGCGGGAUACCGGGGUAGGUGGGCCCCCAGGUCUGACCGCGGGUGAUGGAGGGGGGACACCGGGGUAGAUGGGCCCCCAGGUCUGACUGGAGGUGAU